This 445-nucleotide ribosomal RNA is filed under the name uncultured bacterium. Its description in RNAcentral is "bacterial SSU rRNA". It matches the Rfam family "Bacterial small subunit ribosomal RNA", at positions 338 to 795 of the family's 1533-position model. The record is from RNAcentral.
CCUACGGGUGGCAGCAGUGGGGAAUAUUGCACAAUGGGGGAAACCCUGAUGCAGCAACGCCGCGUGAGCGAUGACGGCCUUCGGGUUGUAAACCUCUUUCAGCUCCGACGAAGCGCAAGUGACGGUAGGAGUAGAAGAAGGACCGGCCAACUACGUGCCAGCAGCCGCGGUAAUACGUAGGGUCCGAGCGUUGUCCGGAAUUACUGGGCGUAAAGAGCUCGUAGGUGGUUUGUCGCGUUGUUCGUGAAAACUCACAGCUCAACUGUGGGCGUGCGGGCGAUACGGGCAGACUGGAGUACUGCAGGGGAGACUGGAAUUCCUGGUGUAGCGGUGGAAUGCGCAGAUAUCAGGAGGAACACCGGUGGCGAAGGCGGGUCUCUGGGCAGUAACUGACGCUGAGGAGCGAAAGCGUGGGGAGCGAACAGGAUUAGAUACCCCAGUAGUC